Molecule: long non-coding RNA, 2090 nt
Organism: Bos taurus (domestic cattle)
Lineage: Eukaryota; Metazoa; Chordata; Mammalia; Artiodactyla; Bovidae
Source: Ensembl
GUGAUGGUCUCCAUGGUAACCAAUGAACCAAUCUAUUGUCAAUAAGUCAAUUCUCCCUACAACCUAUCAUCUCCCUGUCUACUCUCUCACCCCCGACCCUGGUCCAGCACAAAGACUGCUGCUGCCUUGUCUUGUCUGCCAUCUAAUGUCCAUAAUAGAGUGAGCGUCUCAUGUUCUAGGACCCAUUUGCUUCAGAUGUGCUGUGCUGUGCUUAGUCCCUCAGUUGUGUCCGUCUCUUUGCAACCCCAUGGACUAUAGCCCACCAGAUUCCUCUGACCAAGGAGAUUCUCCAGGCAAGAAUAUUGGACUGGGUUGCCAUGCCCUCCUCCAGGGGACCUUCCCCACCCAGGAAUCAAACCUAGAUCUCCCGUAUUGCAAGCGGAUUCUUUACCAUCUGAGCCACCAAGGAAGCCCAGAUCUCUUGUCUAUUAAACCAUUCGCUAACUCUGGGUUCUUCAGCCUUUUGACGCUAAACAUGUACAGAACUUGCAGGCCCAUGGGAUGCAGCCCAACAAUUCCCCCACCCCUAAAUUCAUAUGCUGAAGACCUAAACCCCAGCACCACAGAAUGUAACUUCAUUUGGAAAUAAGGUUGUAGCUGAUGUAAUUAAAGAUGUCACACUGAAGUAGGGUGUCUAAUGUCCUUUUAAAAAGGAAACUUGGAGACAGACAGGCACACAGGGAGAAAGACAUAUGAAGAUAAAGGCAGAGAUCUGCAAGCCAAGAAAUGCCAGAGGCUGCCAGGAAACUAUGAGAAGCUACAAGGGAGGCCUGGAACAGGCCUUUCUCUUACAGCCCUCAGAAGGAACCAGCUCUGACAACACCUUGGACCUUGGACGUCUAGCCUCCAGACUGUGAGACAACAGUUUCUAUUGUUUAAGCCACCCAGACUGUGGUACUUUAUGAUGGCAGACCUGGCAACAAAUACACUGUUGUAGGAGACUAAGUCUGGCAUCAGUAAGUCGGCCGUCGGUGAAAUUUCUGGACUGCUUGUGGGCCGCUUCCUCCAGGGCACUCUGGGUGGGGUCCUGCACCCACUCCCCCAGCUUCAGCUCUGGUUUCAGGCUCUGGAGCUCCUGCAACAGCUCCUGGUCAUCAUGGGAGGACCCUGAGAAGAUUUUUAAAUAGACCAGAGCCCCGUUUCAAAGAAAUUCUGCCUUAAUUGAUCUGCUGGUGUUAAGUGAAGCGUGAAGCAGAAGGGAAAUCAGAGAGACUGAAAGCCUGCUGACGUGAGCAGCAUGGUAAAGAGCACUGGCAGCCUCAACAUAAAAGAGGCUCCCAGCUGACAACCAGGAAAGAAACGGGACUUCACCCUUCAGCCUCGAGGAAUGAGAUUCUAUCCCCAACCUGAGUGAGCCGGGAAGUGACUUCUCCCCCCAAGACUCCAGAUAAGGGCCCAGGCUAACCACCAUCUUGAUUUCACCUUGUGCAACCUGGAGCCAAGGAAUCAGUCAGACCCACAGGACUUCUGACUUGCAGAAGUGAGAGGAAGAAGACGCCAUGUAAACCUUGAACAGACAGCUGCAGAUAUGUGAUGACUUGAGAAUUUCUGAAACAUCUGUCUACCUCUAAAAGAAGCAUACAGUUUUAAAGUCUCAAGACUGGAAAGAAUGUAAUGGUCAAAUACUGUGACCAAUCAGCUUGUGUUUUAAGUCCUUUUAUCUAUAUCCCCCAAAUGUCCUUUUAUCUAUAUCCCUCAAAUGUCACCACCAGCCUAUGAAUCACACCUCUGAUGAUAAGAAACUUAGUUAUUUCUCAAGCUCUAAGUGCUACACAGUCAUCCCUUACAAAGACAAACUUUAAUCCAAAACAUUUUCUGUAUGUUAAGUGUUCUAUUCUGUAUUAUAAGAUUCUAUAUUUGUAUCCUCAGAACCUAGAAAAACAUAGGUAUGCAAGUGCUCAGUGAGGUUGGUUGAAUGGAGUUGAAAAAAUUUCCUUGGGUUGUAUACUAUAUUGCCAUCUAGUUAAUUGUGUGUGCGUUUUAUUUUCCUAACUAGACUGUAAACUCUGUGAGGGAAUGACAUCUUGUUUUAUAUAUUUUUGUAUCCUCUGCCUUCCCUAGUAUUAUUAUAUAUGUAUAAUGCCCCUAAU